AAAAAUUUUAUUUAAAUUUUUUUUUCUGUGUUUUGAUAUAAAUUCUUAAUGCAGGCAAAUAUAUAUGAACCUUAUUAAACUAUGAUUAAAAUUGUGUUCAAGUCAUGAAAAACUGCAAGUUUUCUAAUUUUGCUGUGGAAAUUUUGUAAUUUUUUUUCUUUCAGAGGAUUGUAAUUGUCAAGAUUGGUGGAGUUGCAUAAUGUCUCAAAAUAUACUAAAUUCUUUUGUUUUCUCCUUUGAUAUGUCUACUGAUGCUGUUUUAUAUUUGUGAUUAUUUUCAAUCAUCACAUCCAUUAGCCCUUUCUAAGGCCGUGUUCGAAUGGUGCUUCAGAAAUAACAUAGAGGAGAGAUGAUCAACAAAGAUCGGCCAAGUAAUGAUGGCGCCAAAGGAGUUGCGCAUUUUCGCGAGCGCUGACAGGUCGACGGCACAUUCCCAAAUUACCAAUUAUUUUCAUUU
Non-coding RNA from Parasteatoda tepidariorum (common house spider), 457 nucleotides. The record is from RefSeq and is a predicted model, not a curated record. NCBI's taxonomy places the organism in Eukaryota, Metazoa, Arthropoda, Arachnida, Araneae, Theridiidae.